RNAcentral lists this transfer RNA (73 nucleotides) under Loxodonta africana (African savanna elephant). It matches the Rfam family "tRNA". From Rfam's summary of the family: Transfer RNA (tRNA) molecules are approximately 80 nucleotides in length. Their secondary structure includes four short double-helical elements and three loops (D, anti-codon, and T loops). Lineage: Eukaryota; Metazoa; Chordata; Mammalia; Proboscidea; Elephantidae. The record is from Rfam by way of RNAcentral.
GCCCUGGGGGCCCAGUGGUUAAAGCACUUGGCUGCUAACCAACAGAUCGGUGAUUCGAACCCACUCCAUGGGA